AGGAGAAUAGCUUAAAAUAGGUUAGAGCAACGAUUUUCAAAAUCGAAGGUUAAAGGUUCAAGUCUUUUUUCUCCUG
Molecule: transfer RNA, 76 nt
Filed under: Thorea hispida
Lineage: Eukaryota; Rhodophyta; Florideophyceae; Thoreales; Thoreaceae
Description: tRNA-Trp
Rfam family: tRNA
About the family: Transfer RNA (tRNA) molecules are approximately 80 nucleotides in length. Their secondary structure includes four short double-helical elements and three loops (D, anti-codon, and T loops). Further hydrogen bonds mediate the characteristic L-shaped molecular structure. tRNAs have two regions of fundamental functional importance: the anti-codon, which is responsible for specific mRNA codon recognition, and the 3' end, to which the tRNAs corresponding amino acid is attached (by aminoacyl-tRNA synthetases). tRNAs cope with the degeneracy of the genetic code in two manners: having more than one tRNA (with a specific anti-codon) for a particular amino acid; and 'wobble' base-pairing, i.e. permitting non-standard base-pairing at the 3rd anti-codon position.
Source: RNAcentral